Trichoplusia ni (cabbage looper) is the source of this 477-nucleotide long non-coding RNA. RefSeq lists it as uncharacterized. Lineage: Eukaryota; Metazoa; Arthropoda; Insecta; Lepidoptera; Noctuidae. The record is from RefSeq and is a predicted model, not a curated record. The transcript is spliced from 2 exons.
UUUAACCAAAAACUUUGUUUCAGGACAAACCAAGAAAGGUCUUGGUAUUUAUCAAGUUUCAGUAUUUUGUCAUUGCUCUGACAAUACUAUCUUUGUUCAAGGAAUUGAUUUAUUUCGAUUUGGUAUCAUUAAUUUAUUCCUGUAUCAGUUUGAUUAUAAUUACUUACUUCGUAGUAGUUCUGAUGAGAUAUUACGAGAAGAUGCUUGAACGUGGCACAAACGUGAGAUACAACUUACUUUAAGAUUCAAGGCACUACAGGGCCACUAUACCAACCCCGCUGUGCGCGACGGGGAAAUGCCUUCCAGAUUACAUAGACUAGGAUUUGUGUAACCACAAGUGCGUUUCUAGAACCUGGGGGUCUUUGUGCAUGUGACUGGAAUAUUUGUGCAACGCCCGCAACACAUGGACUAAAUAAAAUUGUGUUGGAGUGCUUUAAAUAUAGAAUCAUUAUAUAAUAAAUAAAAUUUUUUUUAGAA